The sequence is a ribosomal RNA, 262 nucleotides long. It matches the Rfam family "Bacterial large subunit ribosomal RNA", at positions 1443 to 1712 of the family's 2925-position model.
ACCGUCGUAUGAUGCGAUGGGGGGACGGAUCGCGGAAGGUUGUCCAACUGUUGGAAUAGUUGGUUUUUGGCUCAUAGAAGGCACUUAGGCAAAUCCGGGUGCGCAAUUCAAGGGGUUGAGACGAGUGCACUUGUGCACGAAGCAAUCGGAAGUGGUUCCAAGAAAAGCCUCUAAGCUUCAGUCAUACGAGACCGUACCGCAAACCGACACAGGUGGGCGAGAUGAGUAUUCUAAGGCGCUUGAGAGAACUCGGGAGAAGGAA